Molecule: ribosomal RNA, 460 nt
Filed under: uncultured bacterium
Lineage: Bacteria
Description: partial 16S ribosomal RNA
Rfam family: Bacterial small subunit ribosomal RNA
Source: RNAcentral
CCUACGGGAGGCUGCAGUGAGGAAUAUUGGUCAAUGGACGCAAGUCUGAACCAGCCAUGCCGCGUGCAGGAAGACGGCUCUAUGAGUUGUAAACUGCUUUUGUACGCGGGUAAACGCAGAUACGCGUCUCUGUCUGCAAGUCUCGUACGAAUAAGGAUCGGCUAACUCCGUGCCAGCCGCCGCGGUAAUACGGAGGAUUCAAGCGUUAUCCGGAUUUAGUGGGUUUAAAGGGUGCGUAGUCGGUCGGAGAAGUUAGAGGUGAAAUCCCGAGGCGCAACUUCGGAAUUGCCUCUGAUACUGUGCGGCUAGAGAGUAGUUGCGGUAGGCGGAAUGUAUGGUGUAGCGGUGAAAUGCUUAGAGAUCAGACAGAACACCGAUUGCGAAGGCAGCUUACCAAGCUACUGCUGACGUUGAGGCACGAAAGCGUGGGGAGCAAACAGGAGUAGAUACCCCUGUAGUC